This 414-nucleotide ribosomal RNA is filed under the name Triticum aestivum (bread wheat). RNAcentral describes it as "partial small subunit ribosomal RNA". Lineage: Eukaryota; Viridiplantae; Streptophyta; Magnoliopsida; Poales; Poaceae. The record is from RNAcentral.
AUGAUAGCUGGUGGCUCUCCUCCAGACGAGGAAGGCGCGAUGCGCAAAAGGGACUGGCAGUUGCCGGCGCAACAGCAUUGCGCGGCGGCGGUGGCGAUGUCGCAGGGGCUAGGAACGAAAGGUAGGAGGCGGCUAGUUUGGCCAGACUCUAUAGGAUCUCCUCCAUUUGUCCGGCGUGUGCAGGAGCUCCAUAGAUAUGGCUGCUGCUAUCCAGCGAUGGCUCCUGAAGCCCAUAUCUCUUCCAUCGGGAUCCAGGGGAGCCCCGCGGUUUUGGCCCUGCUGUUUUUCUAUCUUCAAAACUUCGAUCUGCUUCAUGCUGGCCUCCUCGAUCUGUACACCGAUGGGUUCCGGUCUUCCUCUCGGAGAUCUCAGCUUUCGAGGCGUGGCGUCACUGGAUUUCUGCAUUGGAAUUGA